GUAAUAAUUUAAAUAGUUAUCAGAGAUUUUAAUACUGUAAAUACAAGAGUUUAAGGGGUUCCUAGCGGCGGGCAAGCCCGCCGAGGAAACAACAGAGGUACACGUAGACAAAGGGUGGAUGCGAUAACCCCCGAAGGGGCUAUUGCUUUCGUAAUUAAUGAUCCUUCCGCAGGUUCACCUACGGAAA
Molecule: unclassified non-coding RNA, 187 nt
Filed under: uncultured fungus
Lineage: Eukaryota; Fungi
Description: sequence contains ITS1
Source: RNAcentral